GUCAAAUAGUUUCAAGGAAAUGACAUUUGGACAACCAGCAAAUGAGGGUUUCCUCCCACUUCCUGCCAUCCAUCUCCAUUUCCCUCUGUUCAAUCUCUCUUCUCCCUCCAGUGGUUCAUUCCUCUGGCAAAUAGCAUCUCUCCUAUGCUCCCUUCUACUCUCCUCUGGGGUCAGCUGAGCACUGCUUUCUUGAUGAUGCUACGUUAGGAAAUUAUCAAAACCCCAAAUCUCAGUUGCUUCCAAUUCCCCUAUACCUGUCCCAGAACCUGGCCUGGGACAUGACUUCACUGGUAGCAGGGAGGCUAGCAGCUAAGCUGUCCAGGGUAAGCAUGCAGAGCUGAGUCCUCUUACUCCAGGACUCACUCUGGAGGUCCUGACCCUCAACUCUUCAUUCAUGUGUGACUCUGGAGGAGGAGGCUUAUGCUGUCUGGGUCUCCAUUUUUUCAUCUGAGGCAACAUGGGAUGGAAAAUCUAUUUCUGUGGUACCAGCACUCCUUGCCGAUGGAUGGGUACAAACAGCUUGCAUGGAUGUGAAGAGCUAAGACACCACGUGCAGACGGACACCAUCCUGCUGGCUUGGCCCUAAGACUGCAGGCAGAACCUGCCAGCCACAAGUCUCCCAGCCAGCCAGGCAGACGCAGUGGGGCUGGGGGGCUUGCGGAGGGUGGAGAGAAGAACAUCAGCUCCAGGGCAGGAGCAAGUGGAGGAGACUCAGGUACCAUUGAUCCAGAGGUGACUGAGCAUGGGUGCCACCUGGAAGAAGUCUCGGUCUAGGGUGGGGACAGAAUGUAACCAUCGGUACCACCUUAAACACUUCGAAAAGUACUGUGGAGAAUGAAUGGAUGGCAAAUGACUUAUCAGAGCCAGCAUUGAGGAAUGAGCCAAGUCCAAUGGGAACACAGGAAAAGGACCCUUUGCUCUGCCAGGAGAGUCACAGAAGGCUUUGCUGGUGGAGGAUGAGAUGCAAUUUCAGCCUGAAAUGAUGAGGAGUUUGUCUUCAGCCAUGUGGAGAAAGGAGCAUUCCAGGCAGAGGGACCAGUCUGAGCAAAGGCAUUCGGGUGUAAAAUUAUUGCCUAGGAUUGGAGUGAAGGAUAUGUAGCGCUACUGACAAGAGACUCCUCUUCAAGAGCAGGCCACAUAUCCUUUAUUUCCCAG
RNAcentral lists this long non-coding RNA (1155 nucleotides) under Homo sapiens (human). Its description in RNAcentral is "HSALNT0012299". The record is from RNAcentral. Lineage: Eukaryota; Metazoa; Chordata; Mammalia; Primates; Hominidae.